RNAcentral lists this long non-coding RNA (5607 nucleotides) under Sus scrofa (pig). Its description in RNAcentral is "lncRNA (ENSSSCG00005001896.1)". Lineage: Eukaryota; Metazoa; Chordata; Mammalia; Artiodactyla; Suidae. The record is from RNAcentral.
GAGUUCCAAAGUCCUGGCUAAACGGGAGCUGCUCUACGUGCCGCUCAUCGGCUGGACGUGGUACUUCCUGGAGAUCGUGUUCUGCAAACGGAAGUGGGAGGAGGACCGGGACACUGUGGUCGAAGGACUGAAGCGCCUGGCCGACUACCCGGAGUACAUGUGGUUCCUCCUGUACUGCGAGGGCACGCGCUUCACGGAGAAGAAGCACCGCGUCAGCAUGGAGGUGGCCGCCUCCAAGGGGCUGCCCCCCCUCAAGUACCACCUGCUGCCUCGGACCAAGGGCUUCACCACCGCGGUCCAGUGCCUCCGCGGGACAGUCGCAGCUGUCUACGAUGUCACGCUGAAUUUCCGAGGAAACAAGAACCCGUCUCUGCUGGGGAUCCUCUACGGGAAGAAGUACGAGGCCGACAUGUGUGUGAGGAGGUUUCCUCUGGAAGAGAUCCCGCUGGACGAGAAGGAAGCGGCCCAGUGGCUUCAUAAACUGUACCAGGAGAAGGAUGCGCUGCAGGAGAUGUAUCACCAGAAGGGCGUGUUUCCAGGGCAGCAGUUCAAGCCCGCCCGACGGCCGUGGACGCUCCUCAACUUCCUCGCCUGGGCCACCGUGCUCCUGUCUCCUCUCUUCAGUUUUGCCUUGGGCGUCUUUGCCGGCGGCUCCCCGCUCCUGAUCCUGACGUUCCUGGGGUUUGUGGGGGCAGCUUCCUUUGGAGUCCGGCGACUAAUAGGAGUGACUGAGAUAGAAAAAGGCUCCAGCUAUGGAAACCAGGAAUUUAAGAAAAAGGAGUAAUUAAUGGCUGUGACUGAACACACGUAACCUGACGAUGGCAUCCCGUUAACUCAAUUAAAAGCAGAACAACACACACAGAGCGGGGGAAAAAGACACUUAGAAACUAUUUUUCAUAUUAACUGGUGACUAAUAUUGACAAUAAAACUUGAGCCAAGAGUAAAGCAGUCGGAAGGCCUGCAGAUGGAGACGCCAGCCUCGCCCCUGCGCCGGCCGGGCGGGCGGGCCGGGCCCCGGGGCGCUUGGCUGGCACCUUCGCUUCCAGGCGGGCAGGGCCCUGGGGAAGUUCUCCAGCAACAAGCACACUGAGCGGCUGGCGGCCCCACUCGCCCGCCCGCUCCUAGUUUCCAGAGCCUCUUCCUACCUGAGCCUGCGGAGACCCCUCAACCCCCUCCCUGGCCUCCGCCCCCUCACUCCCUGCGGGAGGCUGUCACACCCCAGUCACCCUCCCCAGCAGGCUGGAGCCGGAGCGGGAGCCUCGGCCACAGCCCACAGGACCACUGGGUGCUUUGGAAAAGCAAUGUCACCGUCACCUCGUCUUCUAAAGGUGGCUGGAGAUGGGUAGCUCUCUGCUUUGAGAGGUUCUGUUUUCACGGUGGAUCUGUCGAUGGCGCUCGCCUUCCUGGUGGAAACCAGAGGUGCUGUGCCCGCCCCGCCUCCGCCCCCUCCCUUCUGAGCAGGUGCACGUGUCCCUGGGGGGACCGGUGGCCUCUGUCAGCGCCUCCCGGCUGCAGGGUGGCCCCAGGCUCCCGUGGCCUGUGCUCAGCUCACGUCCACACAGCAAGCAUCCCGCUGACUGGGGCUGACUGGCAGAGAGGGGCACUCCCGGGGCUCCGGCUCCCGCUCCGCCGCCCUUUCCUCUGUAACCCGCGGCACUGGACUUUCUUCUUAAACUUUCAACUUGCUUUUGUAAAGUCACACUCCCCGAAUCUUUUUUAGCCAGGGAAGGAAACGAGCGGGCGUUAUUCUCUCUGAUGCACUGUAAGCAGCGUUCAGCACAGGGGCGGGUCGAAUUUUCUAGGGGGCGAAAUGGAAGGAAGAGGCAUGACGACCACCCGGGACCCAGUCAUGCCCCGGCCCUCAGGACGCGUUCUGGGGAGACCUGUGGAAUCAGCACGUGCCCUUUAUACCGACGACACUACUGAAUUCUCUGCGGGCGACCUUGGUGAAGGGACCCAGGUCACAGGGAAGCGAGCCACAGUCCUGUGCUUGCUCACGAGUGUGGUAAAUGCACGCCACUCCUGUGAGGUCCACGGUUAAAACAGCUUUGAGGAUUUUCCUCGAGGCGGGCUUCCCUCCACCUCAAAGCAUGUCCCCAACCCCCCUGCCGUGGGCAGCAGAGCCCAGGCCGGAAGGCGGCGCCUCGGCUACCUGAGGUCUUAUGUUCCUUCACCCAACACGCUGCUCAUCCGUCUCUCUGUGUUUAUGUCACUUGCUAAUUCACUAACCCCGAAAAAGCUUAAAGGAAAAAGUCGAAGGGUCCUAAAUACUGUGAAGCUACGUUACCUGGAAAAUGCAAAUUUAGAUCUUUUACUAUUUAAUUAAUAGUUCUUGCUUCCCAGCUAAGUUCCCUCCCCUCGAAAUGAAUACCCAAUGUAUACAUUCUAUGUUGGGGCGAUGAGCUGGGAAGAUGCUAGGUGAGCGAUUGAGCCCGGGGGUAGGUUUUAAAUCUCAGCGACUUCCUCCUGAUUUAACACAGAUUAGCUUGUGCAUCUGAAUACCAAGCCCUUUGAGAGCAAUAAAAGUUACACCAUGAAUGUUUGGGGGCUUUUUUUUUGGUUUUUUUUUUUGAGGGGUGGAUUUUGCUUUUCAUCCACUUCAGAAAGAGAGGGGGAGGGGAGCUCCUUGCAGUUUUUAAAUCAAUAAAUCCCGGAACAGUGCUUAUUUCUCUUCCACGACCCCGUUACUGCCGCUGUUGUCACCCCAAAUUCAGGCUGAGUGUGGGGGCGGUGGUGCCGGCCAUGGCUGGGGAGAGCGUGCUCUGGAUUCAAGUCCACGCUAGGUCCUGGGUCCAACAAGGGCAAGGAGUCUGGGUGUUGGCUGAGCUUCUCUGCAGGGGGCGGGGCCUGCUGACCCCAGCAGGAAGGCGUAGCCUCCAGAGCCAGACCCCCUCCCGCUGGAGAGACACGAAGGGCAGCCCCAGGCCUUGGGCCCCUCCCGCGAGUGCCUGUGCCGAGGGAGGCUGAGUUCUGGGCCCAGGGCCCGCUGGCCACGUGUUUCUCAGCUCAGGUGCCAGGGCUCACAUGCUUUGUCGCUUUCCGCAGGUAUCCUGGAGGGCCUGGCAAGUAGUUUGGGUUGGGAGCCCUCCGCCUGUGUCCAGCAGUCCCCUCUGGGGCGCUCCUGGGGUGUCUAAGGUGCCUGUGGCAUUUCAUGGUGCCCUUGUGGCAGCCACCACCACCUGGGAAGCUUCUGUCCCCUCCCCCCUGCCCCUGCCGUGGGUCUUUCUGACGCGUGGUGAGCAGGGCCCAGCUCCACUCUGUGCAGGUGAGCAGACACGGGGGCAGGCUUACCUGGUCGCUUUUAACCCCAGAAGAAGUGCCGCAGGUCACCGGGCGCGUGGUGACAGUGUGCAGGGAACAGGGCCUUGUCUGCGCCCGCAGCCCCGUCCUUGAGAGGCACAGUCAGGUGGGAAGAUGGCUCUGAAGGUACAAACGGCUCAAUGAGAGCAGGGGUCAGUGGCGUGGGCCGCUGUCGCGGAGGGCCGGGCGGUGGGGUCCCCGGCCGGUCUGGCAGCCCCACCGUGUUUGCCCGUCGCCCGUGCGCACCUGGUCGAGCUCGUCCCCGCGCUGACACUGGCGUGGUAGCACGCGUGCGCGGAGGUCGUCUGGAAGAAAAGCGUGUGUGUCGUCCCCAGGCUGUCCCCGCCCCACGGCCUCACUUGUGCCCGAACUGGGGUGAGGAGUUAGUGACUCUCUGCAUGCUGCGUGUCCCUGCCCAGGACACCUAUGGGACAUGCCAAGUAGAAUCUUUCAGCCCAAAGGACUUCUGGCUGAAUUGUUCAACCCCGGGUGUGAACUCGUGCUGCAAAUCUCUCGCCGGCAUCUGCAUGCAGCCCUGGCAUGCGACACAGCGGUCAGUGGUGCCCUUUUGGCUUCUAAGCCUCCGCAGGGCAACCGGGCUGAGGGUUAAGACNNNNNNNNNNNNNNNNNNNNNNNNNNNNNNNNNNNNNNNNNNNNNNNNNNNNNNNNNNNNNCCGGGUGCCUGCCCCUCACUCUCGUGGGUUAGCGUCCAAGGCAAAGCGCCUGGGCCUGGCCGGUGGAGCUGGCCACGCCACCGACACGGCCCCGAAUGCGAGUGGUGCGUCAGGGUGCCUGUGGACUUUCUCGCGGGUUCCACAUCCUUGCAGGUCGGGACCAGGACGCAAAAGCACGGGGCCUCUCGGGGGCCAGGAGACGUCCCACUGGGUCCCGCCUGACUGAGGGGCGGCGCCGGUGAACCAAGUUUACCGCGCGCAUUGGCUGUGAGCCAACUCAGGGGAAGUGGUUGGCAGUCCCCACAACCCUGGGGACACAACUGGACAAGAGCACUUUAGAGAACCCAGCGAAUCACAGAGCAGUGGUCCCUGGUCAGCCGGGCAGUGGCCACCUACUCCUUUCAAAAACAAUCGAAUCGCUUUAAAAUUUCAAGCUGUGCAAUGACGCGGUUCACUUGGAGUUUUCUUUUCCCGUCAACGCCUGCGUUUCUUACCCUUUUCGCUGCAAGAGGAUCUGGACAGAAGUCCGACUGUGAAUGAGAAGCUGAAACGCCCUCAGUCCUAUUGAACUGGAGUUACUCGAUGCCACGAAGCAAUGCACUUGGUCGGCUGUCUGAGGCUGUACGUUCUGACAAUCAAAUGUCACCUGCCUAAACGCCAGGAGCUUCCGCCGGCUUCUCAGUCCUCGCGAUGGCCAGCAAGCUCGGUUAACCGCGCGCGGACGUAUCUCUUUGGGAAGCACACAAACCACGCACCCCGUGUGCAGCGCGGCUGUCGCGGUUCGCUUUCUAUUCUUGAUCCUCUGCCUCCUACCUGCCCGUUGGCCGGCUUCGAGGGUGAUGAGUCGUCUACAGGGUGCAAAUGUGUAUUAUACGGAUGCUUCCUUUUGUACACUUCAUUUUUACAAUUUUGCUACAGCUUUGUGUCGUCAAGGAGAGCGCUAUUUUUGGUCGUAGGAGCUGGUGGGGGGGCGGGGAGAGCGCAUGUAGGCUCUCAAAGCCUGAGUCCCGGAAAACCCGCCGCGUUUGCCCAGCGCCGCGAAGGUCCCUUUGUACCCGGCGUGCUCGAACGGCCCCAGCAGCAGCAGCAUCUUCUCCAUAAAAUGCUUAUUGCAGUUGCCGCCGUGAGAGAGAGGGGUAAACGGUCCACGCUGUCAGAGAAAGCGGCCACCAGCCGCCUCUUGUCGCCCGGCUUCUGGUCGCAGAGGGUUUUCCCCGGGGGAGGAAGGACUUCCAGGCACUUCCUGGCGGGAGGGGCCGGGUCCGAGCCGCCCAGACUUUCUCGGCGGCUGACCUGCUGAUUCCCAGGCUGCUCUGGUCCCGUAAGUUGCUUUCGGAAGGGAAAUUGAGAAGGAGAGCCACCGUCGGGCAAAGGCGAGGGACAGAGUCGGCCGGAGCCCAGAGCAUACGCUCGGGGCCCUGUGCCUCAAAACGGGUCUUCAAAGCCAUCACGGACAAAAGCUGUUCCAAUGCAGGCAUGUAUAUAUCAAAAACUAUUUUUUUGUAAAAAUGAAUUCAUUCUGUGCAGAAAAACCCAGGAACCCUGUUUCUUCUUUAUAAGGAAAAGAACUCUUGUGAGAACCAAGAGCUAACUCCAGGGUCUGAUGUGUCGGUCUUGUGAAAAUAAACUGAGC